Molecule: long non-coding RNA, 295 nt
Organism: Phyllostomus hastatus (greater spear-nosed bat)
Lineage: Eukaryota; Metazoa; Chordata; Mammalia; Chiroptera; Phyllostomidae
Exons: 3
Source: RefSeq, a predicted model, not a curated record
UGGAAAAACAAAAAAAAGCGUUACAUUCGAUCCAGCAGAAACUUUUCUGAAACCGAAGUGCAGUAUCACAACAGACAUGGCAGCGAAGGCAGCGCGGGACAACAGAAGCCUACAGAAACAAGUCGCGAAUAUCUACCUCGCAGCUCCUGGACAAAGGGAGUCCGCACCCACCUCCCAGUCGCAGCUGGCCUCUCCCGGUGUGCACACGCAUUCUCCAGACGAGUCAACUUACCCAGACUCCAGGGAACUCAUCCACCAGCCCUCGGCGUGAAGCGGGGUGGGCGCGGCGAGCCGC